GUCUACAGCUAUGCUACCCUGAACAAGCCCAAUCCCAUCUGAUCUUGGAAGCUAAGCAGGGUCGGGCCUGGUUAGCACUUGGAUGGGAGACCACCUAGGAAGACCAGGUGCUGUAGGCA
Molecule: ribosomal RNA, 119 nt
Filed under: Pteropus alecto (black flying fox)
Lineage: Eukaryota; Metazoa; Chordata; Mammalia; Chiroptera; Pteropodidae
Source: RNAcentral